CCUACGGGUGGCAGCAGUGGGGGAUAUUGCACAAUGGGGGAAACCCUGAUGCAGCGACGCCGCGUGUGGGAAGACGGUCCUCUGGAUUGUAAACCACUGUCCCCAGGGACGAAGAUGACGGUACCUGGGGAGUAAGCUCCGACUAACUCCGUGCAAGCAGCCGCGGUAAUACGUAGGGAGCGAGCGUUGGCGGGAAUUACUGGGUGAAAGGGGAGGGUAGGCGGGUAUGCAAGUUGCGUGUAAAAACUACCGGCUCAACUGGUAGGCGCACUCAAAACUGCAGCUCUUGAGUGAAGUAGAGGCAGGCGGAAUUCGUAGUGUAGCGGUGAAAUGCGUAGAUAUUAGGAGGAACCCCAGUGGCGAAGGCGGCCUGCUGGGCUUUUACUGACGCUGAGGCUCGAAAGUGUGGGGAGCAAACAGGAUUAGAUACCCGAGUAGUC
This 440-nucleotide ribosomal RNA is filed under the name uncultured bacterium. RNAcentral describes it as "partial 16S ribosomal RNA". It matches the Rfam family "Bacterial small subunit ribosomal RNA", at positions 338 to 795 of the family's 1533-position model. The record is from RNAcentral.